UGGGUAACCUGCCCAAGAGAUCGGGAUAACACCUGGAAACAGAUGCUAAUACCGGAUAACAACAGAUGAUGCCUAUCAACUGUUUAAAAGAUGGUUCUGCUAUCACUCUUGGAUGGACCUGCGGUGCAUUAGCUAGUUGGUAGGGUAACGGCCUACCAAGGCGAUGAUGCAUAGCCGAGUUGAGAGACUGAUCGGCCACAUUGGGACUUAGACACGGCCCAAACUCCUACGGGAGGCAGCAGGG
This 244-nucleotide ribosomal RNA is filed under the name uncultured Lactobacillus sp. Its description in RNAcentral is "partial 16S ribosomal RNA". It matches the Rfam family "Bacterial small subunit ribosomal RNA", at positions 118 to 354 of the family's 1533-position model. The record is from RNAcentral. Lineage: Bacteria; Bacillati; Bacillota; Bacilli; Lactobacillales; Lactobacillaceae.